Molecule: ribosomal RNA, 253 nt
Filed under: uncultured bacterium
Lineage: Bacteria
Description: partial 16S ribosomal RNA
Rfam family: Bacterial small subunit ribosomal RNA
Source: RNAcentral
UACGGAGGGUGCAAGCGUUGUUCGGAAUCACUGGGCGUAAAGGGCGUGUAGGCGGUCCGCUAAGUCUGAUGUGAAAGCCCGGGGCUCACCCCCGGAAGGGCAUUGGAAACUGGCGGACUCGAGUCCCGGAGAGGAAGGUGGAAUUCCUGGUGUAGCGGUGAAAUGCGUAGAUAUCAGGAGGAACACCUGCGGUGUAGACGGCUUACUGGACCAUAACUGACGCUGAGGCACGAAAGCGUGGGUAGCAAACAGG